GCCAACCUAGCUCAAUGGUAGAGCACAGCUUUCGUAAAGCUGAGGUUGUGGGUUCGAGUCCCACGGUUGGCU
Molecule: transfer RNA, 72 nt
Filed under: Planctomycetota bacterium
Lineage: Bacteria; Pseudomonadati; Planctomycetota
Description: tRNA-Thr
Rfam family: tRNA
About the family: Transfer RNA (tRNA) molecules are approximately 80 nucleotides in length. Their secondary structure includes four short double-helical elements and three loops (D, anti-codon, and T loops).
Source: RNAcentral